ACAGAGGCCACGAACGUUGUUCGGAAUCACUGGGCAUAAAGCGCACGUAGGCGGCCAGGUCCGUCCGAUGUGAAAGCCCCCGGCUCAACCGGGGAACUGCAUCGGAAACUGCCUGGCUUGAGGACGGUUGGGGUGAGUGGAACUCCUGGUGGAGCGGUGAAAUGCGUAGAUAUCAGGAGGAACACCGGUGGCGAAAGCGGCUCACUGGACCGUAACUGACGCUGAGGUGCGAAAGCUAGGGGAGCAAACGGG
RNAcentral lists this ribosomal RNA (252 nucleotides) under uncultured bacterium. RNAcentral's name for it is "partial 16S ribosomal RNA". It matches the Rfam family "Bacterial small subunit ribosomal RNA", at positions 525 to 776 of the family's 1533-position model. The record is from RNAcentral.